RNAcentral lists this ribosomal RNA (438 nucleotides) under uncultured Oomycota. RNAcentral describes it as "LSU rRNA". It matches the Rfam family "Eukaryotic large subunit ribosomal RNA", at positions 165 to 598 of the family's 3401-position model. Lineage: Eukaryota; Oomycota. The record is from RNAcentral.
AGCAUAGCGAUUUGGGAUAAGUCCCUUGGAAGAGGGCAGCAUGGAGGGUGAUACUCCCGUCUCUGCUCAGGUUGUCUGUGUGUACGAUACGCUUUCUUUGAGUCGAGUUGUUUGGGAAUACAGCUCAAAGUAGGUGGUAAAUUCCAUCUAAAGCUAAAUAUUGGUGCGAGACCGAUAGCGAACAAGUACCGUGAGGGAAAGAUGAAAAGAACUUUGAAAAGAGAGUUAAAGAGUACCUGAAACUGUUGAAAGGGAACCGUACCGUUUCUAGUGUUUAUCCUAUGCAUAUUUCAUUGGCGGUUGCAAAGUUGCUGGUGCCCUGUGCAUGGGUGUGACGUCAGAGUCAAUUUAAAUUGCGGGAGAUGGGUAGAGAGGAGGUGCGCCGCUUGCGAAAGUUAUACCUUUUUGCCUAGUAGCCGUGGUUGAGACUGAGGUGCC